UUUAAUGGCCGCAGUAUUUUGACUGUGCAAAGGUAGCAUAAUCAUUAGUUUUUUAAUUAGGAACUGGAAUGAAGGGUUGAACGAAAAAAUAACUGUCUCAUAAUUAAAUUUUUAGAAUUUUAUUUUUAAGUUAAAAAGCUUAAAUAAUUUUAAAAGACGAGAAGACCCUAUAGAGUUUUAUAUACAAUUUUAUUAAAAUAUUAUUAAGAAUACUUAAAAUUUUACUUUUUAUUAUAUUUGAUUGGGGUGAUUAAAAAAUUUGAUUAACUUUUUAUUUUGAUUUGACAUUAAUUUAUGAAUUAUUGAUCCAUUAAUUAUGAUUAUAAGAUUAAAUUACCUUAGGGAUAACAGCGUAAUUUCUUUUUAGAGUUCUUAUCAAUAAAGAAGUUUGCGACCUCGAUGUUGGAUUAAAAUAUAAUUUUGGUGUAGAAGCUAAAAUUUUAGGUCUGUUCGACCUUUAAAAUUUUACAUGAUCUGAGUUUAAACCGGUGUAAGCCAGGUUGGUUUCUAUCUUUAAAUUGAUAAAAUAUUUUAGUACGAAAGGACCAAAUAAUUAAAAAAUUUUUUAUACAAUGAAUAUUAUUAAUAA
RNAcentral lists this ribosomal RNA (589 nucleotides) under Dinarda hagensii. Its description in RNAcentral is "partial 16S ribosomal RNA". The stretch from base 344 to 502 matches the Rfam family "Bacterial large subunit ribosomal RNA", at positions 2473 to 2632 of the family's 2925-position model. Lineage: Eukaryota; Metazoa; Arthropoda; Insecta; Coleoptera; Staphylinidae. The record is from RNAcentral.